RNAcentral lists this ribosomal RNA (253 nucleotides) under uncultured bacterium. RNAcentral describes it as "partial 16S ribosomal RNA". It matches the Rfam family "Bacterial small subunit ribosomal RNA", at positions 524 to 776 of the family's 1533-position model. The record is from RNAcentral.
UACGGGGGGGGCAAGCGUUGUUCGGAAUUACUGGGCGUAAAGGGCUCGUAGGUGGCCAACUAAGUCAGACGUGAAAUCCCUCGGCUUAACCGGGGAACUGCGUCUGAUACUGGUUGGCUUGAGUUUGGGAGAGGGAUGCGGAAUUCCAGGUGUAGCGGUGAAAUGCGUAGAUAUCUGGAGGAACACCGGUGGCGAAGGCGGCAUCCUGGACCAAUACUGACGCUGAGGAGCGAAAGCCAGGGGAGCAAACGGG